AAUUACCCACUCCCGGCACGGGGAGGUAGUGACGAAAAAUAACGAUACGGGACUCAUCCGAGGCCCCGUAAUCGGAAUGAGUACACUUUAAAUCCUUUAACGAGGAUCAAUUGGAGGGCAAGUCUGGUGCCAGCAGCCGCGGUAAUUCCAGCUCCAAUAGCGUAUAUUAAAGUUGUUGCGGUUAAAAAGCUCGUAGUCGAAUUUGUGUCUCAUGCCGCUGGUUCAUCGUUCGCGGUGUAAACUGGCGUGACAUGGGACGUCCUGCCGGUGGGCUUAGCUCUUAACGGGGCGGCCCUAUACAAUCCUGCCGCGUUGCUCUUGAUUGAGUGACGAGGUGGGCCGGCUCAUUUACUUUGAACAAAUUAAAGUGCUUAAAGCAGGCUAAAAAUUUGCCUGAAUAUGUGUGCAUGGAAUAAUGGAAUAGGACCUCGGUUCUAUUUUGUUGGUUUUAAGAACUCCGAGGUAAUGAUUAAUAGGAACGGAUGGGGACAUUCGUAUUGCGACGUUAGAGGUGAAAUUCUUGGAUCGUCGCAAGACGAACAUAAGCGAAAGCAUUUGUCAAAAACGUUUUCAUUGAUCAAGAACGAAAGUUAGAGGUUCGAAGGCGAUCAGAUACCGCCCUAGUUCUAACCAUAAACGAUGCCAGCCAGCGAUCCGCCGAAGUUCCUCCGAUGACUCGGCGGGCAGCUUCCGGGAAACCAAAGCUUUUGGGU
Molecule: ribosomal RNA, 713 nt
Filed under: Pleuropasta mirabilis
Lineage: Eukaryota; Metazoa; Arthropoda; Insecta; Coleoptera; Meloidae
Description: SSU rRNA
Rfam family: Eukaryotic small subunit ribosomal RNA
Source: RNAcentral